UUUUUUUGUUUUAUAUUUUAAAAACAUUCUUUAACUAGUGUUUAAAGAUGAGCCGUGGAAGAGAAGCGAGUUCUCUUCCACCAAAUAGUGCACAGAGUUAGAAAUGAAGGCUGAGUCCUCGUUAAAGAGACACUCUAAUUCAUUAAUGAUCCUUCCGCAGGUUCACCUACGGAAA
RNAcentral lists this unclassified non-coding RNA (175 nucleotides) under uncultured fungus. RNAcentral's name for it is "sequence contains ITS1". Lineage: Eukaryota; Fungi. The record is from RNAcentral.